UCCUACAAGAUUAUCAAUUUUGCUCCCAGCCUGCUUCAGAUCAUCGUCUCGGACCAAGUGGAGUUCCCGGUGCGUCAGGCAGGUGAGUUUUCUGCCCUUUUGGUUCUUUUCAGCCGUUAACGUGCAUUGAGACGGGGGAAGCGGGCUGACGACGGCCUCCUCACGUUGUGCUCAGGAGAAGCGCUCGGACACGGCCCUGCGAGCUUCCCGGCUUCUUGCCUUGGGGCGGCCCUGCGAGGGCACCGAGCCCGGGCCGUGGCGGACGCUCUUACUCGCUGUGAGGGUCAAAGGCGUGGCCUUCGCCAGCUGCUUCCUCCCUAGUCAGCCUCUGCCUAUUCUCUCUUGCACGUGCACACGCGCACACACACGUGCACACACACAACACAUGCGCACACAUACGCACACACGUGCACAUAAUACAUGUGAACGCAGGCACACAAUACACAUGUAUACACAUGCACACAAUACACACGCAUGCGCACACAACGCGCACGCACACACAAUACACAUGCACGUACACACAGUGCACAUGCACACACGUGUGUGUACACACACACACACACACCCCUGGCUCAGCCACCUGCGAUCCUAGAAAGCUGUACCAUGCCAGAAAGGGGAGUCCCGAGCGGGAGGGCCCGCCGUCUGCCCAUGCGCAGGCUCACUUGCCGAGCAGCUUCCGCUCGGCGAGCUCUGUCUUGGCGCUGCGCACACAGACGUGCUUCGAGAGCCCGCUGGGCCUCUUCCUGCCUUUGGGGCUCACCAGAGGCUGUCCUGGUGGCCGUUCUCAGUGGCUCUGAGCAGCUGGAGGCCCCGGGGGCGGAGGGGGCCCUCUGGCGCCCGGUACCCCCACAUCCCUCGGCAGGCCGCCGCGCCGCGAGCCUGGCACGGAGCCUCCUUGGCCUUCCCUCCUCCGCUAGAUGAGGGCAGACGGCUACAAAGUAUCUGAGGGCAGAUUUGAACUCGGGUCCUCCCGACUCCUCAUCACCAUCUUGUCCCUGCUCCAUUUCUCUCCCUUUGGAGAGCCAGCCAAGAUGAGGCUCCUGUCCCAGCCGCCUUUGAGAGGCCCGUCAGCUCCAGCCCCAGACGGAGGCUCCUCUCGGGCCGAGCCCUGCUUUGGUGGGCCCGACAUGGGGGCGGGGGGGGGGGCAGUGAGGCCUGCAGGAAGGGCCUGGACAGCCUGUCGGCUGGCUCUGAGCUGGCUCAGGGCCGCACCCGGGAGGCGUUUCCGGCCCCGAAGGAGGGCGAGGCCCAGGGAGCUGCCAUGGAGGACGGCCAGGGAAGAGGAGUCUGUUCUGUGGGUGCAGGCGCUCCGCGAAGACCCCGCAGGGAGGGACCCCCGUCCUGAAGGCGGCCGGCGCAGACGGGGCCUCCCUGCCCCCCCCAGCGGCCCACCUGCGCCCAGGAUGCUCCCGGGGCCGCCCCACACGCAGGAUGGCUGCAGGGAAGGAGGAGGGAGGAGGAAGUCGAGCUGGAGCAGAGCAGGGACUGCCCGGAGGAGAGCCGAAGAGAGGAGCCCGAGCAGCGGGCCUGGGCAGCGAGAGAGCCUUCUUCCAGGCGGAGCUGGCCAGGCCCACACCGGGAUGGACGUCCAGGCCCGCAGAGCUCUAGAGGCCAGUCAGGUGGGGUCAAGGGACUUGCCCAGGGUCAUACAGCUAGGAAAUACUCGAGGUCACAUUUGAACCCAGCUCCUUCCGCCUCGAGGCUUGGCUCUCCAUCUGUCCAGUCACCUUGCUGCUCCGGAAGGACUGAAGGAAUCCUUUACCCCCUCUGUCUUUCUUCUUCCGGUCUCCCUCCCCUUCUCUCUCCCUCUCUCCCUGUCCCUGAAACUUGAUGCCUUCAGUGAAAAGGCCCGACAAGAUGGCGUCGAGGGAGAGGAGGGGGAGCGGCCGAGGCCGAUGCCACGCCCUUCCACAAGGCCUCGUGUCAGGGUUCAUCCGCACUUUGCCCAAAGUGGGGGGGGGGCAGGUUGUCCCCAGGCAGCACGUGAAUGGCGGCGCCGAAGGACCGGAGGCUGCAGUGGCCCGAGCAAGCCCAGGAGGACGACAGGCCUCCCGUUCAUUCUUGAGCAGACUCACCCCCCCAGUUCCGUCACUGCGGGCGGCCACUGACCGACUGGCCCUUUCCGUGGCUCCUUUUCCUCGCAGCGCGGCCAUCGCGGUCUGCGCCUCCUGCUUUAGCCCUCGCCCGCCGGCCUGCUCCAGGGCAGAAGACUGGCCCAGGGUCACCGGGCUGGGAAGCGUCUGAGCCGGAUUGGAACCCAGCACUUCCUGUGUCCAGGCUCGGCUCUCCCUCCGCUGAGCCGCCCGGCUGCCCCCAGAUCCAGCCGGCAUUUCAGGGCAUUAAAGAAGAAGGGGACAAAUGGAAGCGCAAACUGUGCCCCCCCAGGACCAGGCCCCCCCACGGGGAACCCCCCGGGCGCCUGCGCCUCUUCCUGUGGGAGGGGCCUCACGUGAGCCCAGAUCCCGCCCACACGUCCCCGCCCUCUUCUCCUGCCCUCUGGGAGCUGCAGUCACGAGGCCAGUCCCUGAAGACAACUCCGCAGGGCAGGCGGGCAGAGGCGGGGCUGUAAGAGACCGCCCUGUCCGGCCCUGCCCCCCAGGCGCUUGGCCUCCCGCCUUCUGUGGCAUCUUCCGGGCGGGAAGUCGCUGCUGGGCUUGGGGGCCUCAGUGCUGACCUCAA
This is a long non-coding RNA of Monodelphis domestica (gray short-tailed opossum), 2679 nucleotides long. The record is from Ensembl. NCBI's taxonomy places the organism in Eukaryota, Metazoa, Chordata, Mammalia, Didelphimorphia, Didelphidae.